Olea europaea var. sylvestris is the source of this 221-nucleotide long non-coding RNA. RefSeq lists it as uncharacterized. Lineage: Eukaryota; Viridiplantae; Streptophyta; Magnoliopsida; Lamiales; Oleaceae. The record is from RefSeq and is a predicted model, not a curated record. The transcript is spliced from 2 exons.
AUUUCGUCACUAGAUUGUCUGCGUCCGCGCUCAGAGGCCUGUUUCACAUUGUCGUUCCAAUUGGAUCUCUCCUCACAAAUUGUCUUUCAUCACUUCUCCCACGCAAUUCCACAAUCAAUCAUAAUUGCUAAACGUCCUUCAACAACGUAGAUCAACCGCAACUGCCAUCCUCUCCAGUUGCAUUGAAGCAGUUAAGAAUCAUUGACAGCCAUGGUGAAACC